Molecule: ribosomal RNA, 429 nt
Filed under: Bacteroidota bacterium
Lineage: Bacteria; Pseudomonadati; Bacteroidota
Description: Bacteroidetes bacterium partial 16S ribosomal RNA
Rfam family: Bacterial small subunit ribosomal RNA
Source: RNAcentral
UAGGGAAUCUUCCGCAAUGGACGCAAGUCUGACGGAGCAACGCCGCGUGAGUGAAGAAGGAUUUCGGUUUGUAAAACUCUGUUGUUAGAGAAGAACAGCGCAUAGAGUAACUGUUAUGCGUGUGACGGUAUCUAACCAGAAAGCCACGGCUAACUACGUGCCAGCAGCCGUGGUAUUACGUAGGUGGCAAGCGUUGUCCGGAUGUAUUGGGCGUAAAGCGAGCGCAGGCGGUCAAUUAAGUCUGAUGUGAAAACCCCCGGCUCAACCGGGGAAGGUCAUUGGAUUCUGGUUGACUUGAGUGCAGAAGAGGAGAGUGGAAUUCCAUGUGUAGCGGUGAAAUGCGUAGAUAUUUGGGGGAACACCAGUGGCGAAGGCGACUCUCUGGACUGUAUCUGACGCUGAGGCUCGAAAGCGUGGGUAGCAAACAGG